Molecule: ribosomal RNA, 497 nt
Filed under: uncultured bacterium
Lineage: Bacteria
Description: partial 16S ribosomal RNA
Rfam family: Bacterial small subunit ribosomal RNA
Source: RNAcentral
GACGAACGCUGGCGGCGUGCCUAAUACAUGCAAGUUGAGCGAUGACGGUUGUUGAUUGCUCCAAUUUGUAGCGCAGCGCACGGGUGAGUAACGCGUGGGGACUCUGCCUUUGAGCGGGGGACAACAUUUGGAAACGCAUGCUAAUACCGCAUAAUAACUUUAAACAUAAGUUUUCAGUUUGAAUGAUGCUCUUGCAUCUCUCAAUGAUGAUCCCGCGUUGUAUUAGCUUGUUGGUGAGGUAAAGGCACCCCACGGCGAUGAUAAAUAGCCGAACUGAGAGGGUGAGCAGCCACAGUGAGACGGGGACACGGCCCAAACUCCGACGGGAGGCAGCGGUAGGGGUGCGUCGGCAAGGGACGAGAGUCUGACCGUGCAACGCCGAGGGAGUGAAGAGGGUUUUGGGAUCGUAAGACGCUGUUUGUAGAGAAGAACGUUGGUGAGAGUGGAAAGCUCAUCAAUUGACGGUAACUAACCAGAAAGCGACGGCUAACUACGUG